Molecule: small RNA, 10641 nt
Filed under: Pan troglodytes (chimpanzee)
Lineage: Eukaryota; Metazoa; Chordata; Mammalia; Primates; Hominidae
Description: retained intron
Source: RNAcentral
UGUUCUCACGAGGGGGCAGCUUGGGCUUGACCGAGCAGGAGCUUCAUGGUCCCACACGUAGUAUGACAUGUGACCUCUGCACAUUGUUUACAGUUCCUAAACUGUGAUUUCUUUUUCUGUGAAAUAGUUAUAAUAGUAAGUGGCUACCAAGUAGAAAGUGGUCAUGGGGGGGGGGGGGUGAAGGUUAAACACAAUAACGGACACACAGAACUUACACAGGGCAUUUUAUGCCAAGCUAUAUUGAAUAUCUAUACCCCUCUACCUGCCCGUCAAUGUCAUGAAUAUUGACAAUUCAUUCUAGACCCUGCUAGAAGAAUCCAAAGAAAUUGACAGUGAGCUGGAAGCAAUGACUGAGAAAUUACAGUACCUCACUAGCGUGUACUGUACAGAAAAAAUGUCUCAGCAAGUGGCAGAACUGGGACGGGAGACUGAGGAGUUGCGACAGAUGAUCAAAAUUCGUUUGCAGAACCUCCAAGAUGCAGCUAAGGAUAUGAAAAAAUUUGAAGCAGAGUUGAAAAAGUUACAAGCUGCCUUGGAGCAAGCCCAGGCAACACUGACUUCUCCAGAAGUUGGACGUCUCAGUCUCAAGGAGCAGCUCUCUCAUCGGCAGCAUUUGUUGUCUGAGAUGGAGUCACUGAAGCCGAAGGUGCAAGCAGUGCAGCUCUGCCAGAGUGCCCUCCGGAUCCCCGAGGAUGUGGUUGCCAGCUUACCUCUCUGUCAUGCUGCUCUGCGGCUGCAGGAAGAGGCCAGCCGGCUGCAGCACACCGCCAUCCAGCAGUGUAACAUCAUGCAGGAGGCUGUGGUGCAGUAUGAACAAUAUGAGCAAGAAAUGAAACAUCUCCAGCAACUGAUAGAAGGAGCUCACAGAGAGAUUGAGGAUAAACCUGUUGCCACCAGUAACAUACAGGAGCUGCAGGCUCAGAUUUCUCGGCAUGAGGAGCUGGCGCAGAAAAUUAAGGGCUACCAGGAGCAGAUCGCUUCUUUGAAUUCCAAGUGCAAGAUGCUGACGAUGAAAGCCAAGCACGCCACCAUGCUGCUGACGGUGACCGAGGUCGAGGGGCUGGCGGAAGGGACAGAGGACCUGGAUGGGGAGCUCCUCCCCACGCCUUCGGCCCACCCCUCUGUGGUCAUGAUGACUGCAGGUCGCUGUCACACUUUGCUGUCACCGGUCACUGAGGAGUCUGGGGAGGAGGGAACCAACAGUGAGAUUUCCUCUCCACCUGCCUGUCGCUCCCCUUCACCUGUGGCUAAUACAGAUGCUUCUGUUAACCAGGACAUUGCAUAUUACCAAGCCUUGUCUGCUGAGAGGUUGCAGACAGAUGCUGCAAAAAUUCACCCCAGCACAUCCGCAUCCCAGGAGUUCUAUGAACCGGGAUUGGAGCCAUCCGCUACUGCCAAACUGGGUGAUUUGCAGCGUUCUUGGGAAACCUUAAAGAAUGUGAUCAGUGAGAAGCAGCGCACACUCUAUGAAGCUUUGGAACGCCAGCAGAAGUACCAGGACUCCCUCCAGUCCAUCUCUACGAAGAUGGAGGCUAUUGAGCUGAAACUCAGUGAGAGCCCAGAGCCUGGCAGGAGUCCAGAAAGCCAGAUGGCUGAACAUCAGGCAUUGAUGGAUGAGAUUCUCAUGCUCCAGGAUGAAAUCAAUGAGCUCCAGUCCUCUCUCGCAGAGGAGCUGGUAUCCGAGUCUUGUGAGGCCGACCCCGCGGAGCAGCUGGCCUUGCAGUCCACGCUCACUGUCUUAGCCGAGCGAAUGUCCACCAUCAGGAUGAAAGCCUCGGGGAAACGGCAGCUUUUGGAGGAGAAGUUGAAUGAUCAGCUGGAGGAACAAAGGCAGGAACAGGCCCUGCAGAGGUAUCGCUGUGAAGCCGAUGAGCUGGACAGCUGGCUCUUGAGUACCAAGGCCACUCUGGACACUGCGCUGAGUCCACCCAAGGAGCCCAUGGACAUGGAGGCCCAGCUUGUGGACUGCCAGAAUAUGCUGGUGGAAAUAGAGCAGAAGGUGGUGGCUUUAUCAGAACUGUCAGUCCACAAUGAGAACCUGCUGCUGGAGGGCAAAGCUCACACCAAGGACGAGGCCGAGCAGCUGGCUGGAAAGCUGAGAAGGCUCAAGGGGAGCCUGCUGGAGCUGCAGAGAGCCCUGCAUGAUAAGCAGCUCAACAUGCAGGGAACAGCACAGGAGAAGGAGGAGAGCGAUGUUGACCUAACAGCCACGCAGAGCCCCGGCGUCCAGGAAUGGCUGGCCCAAGCUCGCACCACAUGGACCCAGCAGCGGCAGAGCAGUCUCCAGCAACAAAAAGAGUUAGAACAGGAAUUAGCCGAGCAGAAGAGUCUCCUUCGCUCAGUAGCCAGUCGUGGAGAGGAGAUUCUAAUUCAACAUUCGGCGGCAGAGACUUCUGGUGAUGCUGGCGAAAAACCUGAUGUGUUAUCCCAGGAGUUGGGGAUGGAAGGGGAGAAAUCAUCUGCUGAAGACCAGAUGAGAAUGAAAUGGGAAAGCCUACAUCAAGAAUUUAGUACCAAGCAGAAACUACUACAGAAUGUUCUGGAACAGGAACAAGAGCAAGUGCUUUAUAGCAGGCCAAAUCGACUCUUGUCUGGUGUGCCACUGUACAAAGGGGACGUGCCAACCCAAGAUAAAUCUGCAGUUACAUCUUUGCUGGAUGGACUGAACCAAGCCUUCGAGGAGGUUUCAUCCCAGAGUGGAGGGGCAAAGAGGCAGAGUAUACACUUGGAGCAGAAGUUGUAUGAUGGAGUCUCAGCCACCUCUACUUGGUUGGAUGACGUUGAAGAACGUUUAUUUGUUGCCACAGCACUUUUACCAGAAGAAACAGAGACUUGUCUCUUCAACCAAGAGAUUCUUGCCAAAGACAUUAAGGAAAUGUCUGAAGAAAUGGAUAAGAACAAAAACUUGUUUUCCCAAGCUUUUCCAGAGAAUGGUGAUAAUCGAGAUGUUAUUGAAGAUACUUUGGGUUGUCUUUUGGGCAGGUUAUCCUUGCUAGACUCAGUAGUGAAUCAACGAUGUCAUCAGAUGAAAGAAAGACUUCAGCAAAUACUAAAUUUCCAGAAUGAUCUGAAAGUGCUGUUUACAUCACUGGCUGACAACAAAUACAUCAUUCUGCAAAAACUGGCAAAUGUGUUUGAACAGCCCGUAGCAGAACAAAUAGAGGCAAUACAACAGGCUGAAGAUGGACUCAAAGAAUUCGAUGCAGGAAUCAUUGAAUUAAAGAGGCGUGGUGACAAGCUACAGGUCGAGCAGCCGUCCAUGCAAGAACUCUCCAAGCUCCAGGACAUGUAUGAUGAGCUGAUGAUGACCAUUGGCUCCCGGAGGAGUGGUCUGAAUCAGAACCUUACACUCAAGAGUCAGUAUGAGAGGGCCCUACAAGAUCUGGCUGACCUGCUAGAAACUGGUCAGGAGAAGAUGGCAGGAGACCAGAAAAUCAUCGUGUCUUCCAAAGAGGAAAUCCAGCAACUACUUGACAAACAUAAGGAAUACUUUCAGGGCCUGGAAUCUCAUAUGAUCUUGACUGAAACACUCUUCAGAAAGAUAAUCAGCUUUGCAGUCCAAAAGGAAACCCAGUUCCAUACAGAGCUGAUGGCUCAGGCUUCUGCUGUACUGAAACGGGCUCACAAGAGGGGUGUGGAGCUGGAGUACAUUCUAGAGACGUGGUCCCAUCUGGAUGAGGACCAGCAGGAGCUCAGCAGACAGCUGGAGGUGGUGGAAAGCAGCAUCCCAAGCGUGGGUCUGGUGGAGGAGAACGAGGACAGGCUUAUUGACCGCAUAACACUCUACCAGCAUUUAAAAUCUAGCCUUAAUGAAUACCAGCCCAAAUUAUAUCAAGUAUUAGAUGAUGGGAAACGACUUCUGAUAUCCAUCAGCUGCUCAGAUCUAGAAAGCCAACUAAAUCAACUUGGAGAGCGCUGGCUAAGUAACACCAAUAAAGUGUCUAAGGAACUUCACAGACUGGAAACAAUAUUGAAACACUGGACCAGAUAUCAAAGUGAAUCUGCAGAUCUAAUUCACUGGUUACAAUCUGCAAAAGACCGGCUAGAAUUUUGGACUCAGCAAUCUGUGACAGUCCCACAAGAGCUGGAAAUGGUCCGUGAUCAUCUAAAUGCUUUCCUGGAGUUUUCUAAAGAAGUGGAUGCCCAGUCUUCCCUGAAAUCAUCUGUUCUGAGUACUGGAAAUCAGCUCCUUCGACUAAAAAAGGUGGACACAGCCACGCUGCGCUCUGAGCUGUCGCGCAUUGAUAGCCAGUGGACUGACCUGCUAACCAAUAUCCCAGCUGUCCAGGAGAAGCUCCACCAGCUCCAGAUGGAUAAACUGCCUUCCCGCCAUGCCAUUUCUGAAGUCAUGAGUUGGAUUUCUCUAAUGGAAAAUGUUAUUCAGAAGGAUGAAGAUAAUAUUAAAAAUUCCAUAGGUUACAAGGCAAUUCAUGAAUACCUUCAGAAAUAUAAGGGUUUUAAGAUAGACAUUAACUGUAAACAGCUGACGGUGGAUUUUGUGAACCAGUCCGUGCUACAAAUCAGCAGUCAGGAUGUGGAAAGUAAGCGUAGUGAUAAGACUGAUUUUGCUGAGCAACUUGGAGCAAUGAAUAAAAGUUGGCAAAUUCUGCAAGGUCUAGUAACUGAGAAGAUCCAGCUGUUGGAAGGCUUAUUGGAAUCUUGGUCAGAAUAUGAAAAUAAUGUACAAUGUCUGAAAACAUGGUUUGAAACCCAGGAAAAGAGACUAAAACAACAGCAUCGAAUUGGAGAUCAGGCUUCUGUUCAAAAUGCACUGAAAGACUGUCAGGAUCUGGAAGAUUUGAUUAAAGCAAAAGAAAAAGAAGUAGAGAAAAUUGAGCAGAAUGGACUUGCUUUGAUUCAGAACAAGAAAGAAGACGUCUCUGGCAUUGUCAUGAGCACACUGCGAGAGCUCGGCCAAACCUGGGCAAAUUUAGAUCACAUGGUUGGACAAUUAAAGAUACUGCUGAAAUCAGUGCUUGACCAAUGGAGUAAUCACAAAGUGGCCUUUGACAAGAUAAACAGUUACCUCAUGGAGGCCAGAUACUCUCUUUCCCGAUUCCGUCUGCUGACUGGCUCCUUAGAAGCUGUGCAAGUUCAGGUGGACAAUCUUCAGAAUCUCCAAGAUGAUCUUGAAAAACAGGAAAGGAGCUUACAGAAAUUUGGCUCUAUCACCAACCAAUUAUUAAAAGAGUGUCACCCACCUGUGACAGAAACGCUUACCAAUACACUGAAAGAAGUCAACAUGAGGUGGAAUAACUUGCUGGAAGAGAUUGCUGAGCAGCUACACUCCAGCAAGGCCCUACUUCAGCUUUGGCAAAGAUACAAGGACUACUCCAAACAGUGUGCUUCGACAGUUCAGCAGCAGGAGGAUCGAACCAAUGAGCUGUUGAAGGCAGCCACAAACAAGGACAUCGCCGAUGAUGAGGUUGCCACAUGGAUUCAAGAUUGCAACGACCUCCUCAAAGGACUGGGCACAGUUAAAGAUUCCCUCUUUGUUCUCCAUGAGCUGGGAGAGCAACUGAAGCAACAAGUGGAUGCUUCCGCAGCAUCCGCUAUUCAAUCGGAUCAACUCUCUUUGAGUCAACACUUGUGUGCCCUGGAGCAGGCUCUCUGCAAACAGCAGACUUCGUUACAGGCUGGAGUUCUUGAUUAUGAAACCUUUGCCAAGAGUUUAGAAGCUUUGGAGGCCUGGAUAGUGGAAGCUGAAGAAAUACUACAAGGGCAGGACCCUAGCCACUCAUCUGACCUCUCCACAAUCCAGGAAAGGAUGGAAGAACUUAAGGGACAGAUGUUAAAAUUCAGCAGCAUGGCUCCAGAUUUAGACCGUCUAAAUGAGCUUGGAUAUAGGUUACCCUUGAAUGAUAAGGAAAUCAAAAGGAUGCAGAAUCUGAACCGCCAUUGGUCUCUGAUCUCCUCUCAGACUACAGAAAGAUUCAGCAAGUUGCAGUCAUUUUUGCUACAACAUCAGACUUUCUUGGAAAAAUGUGAAACAUGGAUGGAAUUCCUAGUUCAGACAGAACAAAAGUUAGCAGUAGAGAUUUCAGGAAAUUAUCAGCACCUUUUGGAACAGCAGAGAGCACACGAGUUGUUUCAAGCCGAGAUGUUCAGUCGUCAGCAGAUUUUGCACUCAAUCAUUAUUGAUGGGCAACGUCUUCUAGAACAAGGUCAAGUUGAUGACAGGGAUGAAUUCAACCUGAAAUUGACACUCCUCAGUAAUCAAUGGCAGGGAGUGAUUCGCAGGGCCCAGCAGAGGCGGGGGAUCAUUGACAGCCAGAUUCGCCAGUGGCAGCGCUAUAGGGAGAUGGCAGAAAAGCUUCGUAAAUGGUUGGUUGAAGUGUCCUACCUCCCCAUGAGUGGUCUCGGAAGUGUUCCUAUACCACUGCAACAAGCAAGGACCCUCUUUGAUGAAGUGCAGUUCAAAGAAAAAGUGUUUCUGCGGCAACAAGGCAGCUACAUCCUGACUGUGGAGGCUGGCAAGCAACUCCUUCUCUCAGCGGACAGUGGCGCUGAGGCCGCCUUGCAGGCCGAACUCGCUGAAAUCCAAGAGAAAUGGAAAUCAGCCAGCAUGCGGCUGGAAGAACAGAAGAAAAAACUAGCCUUCUUGUUGAAAGACUGGGAAAAAUGUGAGAAAGGAAUAGCAGAUUCCCUGGAGAAACUACGAACUUUCAAAAAGAAGCUUUCGCAGUCUCUCCCGGAUCACCAUGAAGAGCUCCAUGCAGAACAAAUGCGUUGCAAGGAAUUAGAAAAUGCAGUUGGGAGCUGGACAGAUGACUUGACCCAGUUGAGCCUGCUGAAGGACACCCUCUCUGCCUAUAUCAGUGCUGAUGAUAUCUCCAUUCUUAAUGAACGCGUAGAGCUUCUGCAAAGGCAGUGGGAAGAACUAUGCCACCAGCUCUCCUUAAGGCGGCAGCAAAUAGGUGAAAGAUUGAAUGAAUGGGCAGUCUUCAGUGAAAAGAACAAGGAACUCUGUGAGUGGUUGACUCAAAUGGAAAGCAAAGUUUCUCAGAAUGGAGACAUUCUCAUUGAAGAAAUGAUAGAGAAGCUCAAGAAGGAUUAUCAAGAGGAAAUUGCUAUUGCCCAAGAGAACAAAAUACAGCUCCAACAAAUGGGAGAACGACUUGCUAAAGCCAGCCAUGAAAGCAAAGCAUCUGAGAUUGAAUACAAGCUGGGAAAGGUCAACGACCGGUGGCAGCAUCUCCUGGACCUCAUUGCAGCCAGGGUGAAGAAGCUGAAGGAGACCCUGGUAGCCGUGCAGCAGCUUGAUAAGAACAUGAGCAGCCUGAGGACCUGGCUCGCUCACAUCGAGUCAGAGCUGGCCAAGCCAAUAGUCUACGAUUCCUGUAACUCGGAAGAAAUACAGAGAAAGCUUAAUGAGCAGCAGGAGCUUCAGAGAGACAUAGAGAAGCACAGUACAGGUGUUGCAUCUGUCCUCAACCUGUGUGAAGUCCUGCUGCACGACUGUGACGCCUGUGCCACUGAUGCCGAGUGUGACUCUAUACAGCAGGCUACGAGAAACCUGGACCGGCGGUGGAGAAACAUUUGUGCUAUGUCCAUGGAAAGGAGGCUGAAAAUCGAAGAGACGUGGCGAUUGUGGCAGAAAUUUCUGGAUGACUAUUCACGUUUUGAAGAUUGGCUGAAGUCUUCAGAAAGGACAGCUGCUUUUCCCAGCUCUUCUGGGGUGAUCUAUACAGUUGCCAAGGAAGAACUAAAGAAAUUUGAGGCUUUCCAGCGACAGGUCCACGAGUGCCUGACGCAGCUGGAACUGAUCAACAAGCAGUACCGCCGCCUGGCCAGGGAGAACCGCACUGAUUCAGCGUGUAGCCUCAAACAGAUGGUUCACGAAGGCAACCAGAGAUGGGACAACCUGCAAAAGCGUGUCACCUCCAUCUUGCGCAGACUCAAGCAUUUUAUUGGCCAGCGUGAGGAGUUUGAGACUGCGCGGGACAGCAUUCUGGUCUGGCUCACAGAGAUGGAUCUGCAGCUCACUAAUAUUGAACAUUUUUCUGAGUGUGAUGUUCAAGCUAAAAUAAAGCAACUCAAGGCCUUCCAGCAGGAAAUUUCACUGAACCACAAUAAGAUUGAGCAGAUAAUUGCCCAAGGAGAACAGCUGAUAGAAAAGAGUGAGCCCUUGGAUGCAGCGAUCAUCGAGGAGGAACUAGAUGAGCUCCGACGGUACUGCCAGGAGGUCUUCGGGCGUGUGGAAAGAUACCAUAAGAAACUGAUCCGCCUGCCUCUCCCAGACGAUGAGCAUGACCUCUCAGACAGAGAGCUGGAGCUGGAAGACUCUGCAGCUCUGUCAGACCUGCACUGGCACGACCGCUCUGCAGACAGCCUGCUUUCUCCACAGCCUUCCUCCAACCCCUCCCUCUCGCUCGCUCAGCCCCUCCGGAGCGAGCGGUCAGGACGAGACACCCCGGCUAGUGUGGACUCCAUCCCCCUGGAGUGGGAUCACGACUAUGACCUCAGUCGGGACCUGGAGUCUGCAAUGUCCAGAGCUCUGCCCUCUGAGGAUGAAGAGGGUCAGGAUGACAAAGAUUUCUACCUCCGGGGAGCUGUUGGCUUAUCAGGGGACCACAGUGCCCUAGAGUCACAGAUCCGACAACUGGGCAAAGCCCUGGAUGAUAGCCGCUUUCAGAUACAGCAAACCGAAAAUAUCAUUCGCAGCAAAACUCCCACGGGGCCGGAGCUAGACACCAGCUACAAAGGCUACAUGAAACUGCUGGGCGAAUGCAGUGGCAGUAUAGACUCCGUGAAGAGACUGGAGCACAAACUGAAGGAGGAAGAGGAGAGCCUUCCUGGCUUUGUUAACCUGCAUAGUACCGAAACCCAAACGGCUGGUGUGAUUGACCGAUGGGAGCUUCUCCAGGCCCAGGCAUUGAGCAAGGAGUUGAGGAUGAAGCAGAACCUCCAGAAGUGGCAGCAGUUUAACUCAGACUUGAACAGCAUCUGGGCCUGGCUGGGGGACACGGAGGAGGAGUUGGAACAGCUCCAGCGUCUGGAACUCAGCACUGACAUCCAGACCAUUGAGCUCCAGAUCAAAAAGCUCAAGGAGCUCCAGAAAGCUGUGGACCACCGCAAAGCCAUCAUCCUCUCCAUCAAUCUCUGCAGCCCUGAGUUCACCCAGGCUGACAGCAAGGAGAGCCGGGACCUGCAGGAUCGCUUGUCGCAGAUGAAUGGGCGCUGGGACCGAGUGUGCUCUCUGCUGGAGGAGUGGCGGGGCCUGCUGCAGGAUGCCCUGAUGCAGUGCCAGGGUUUCCAUGAAAUGAGCCAUGGUUUGCUUCUUAUGCUGGAGAACAUUGACAGAAGGAAAAAUGAAAUUGUCCCUAUUGAUUCUAACCUUGAUGCAGAGAUACUUCAGGACCAUCAUAAACAGCUUAUGCAAAUAAAGCAUGAGCUGUUGGAAUCCCAACUCAGAGUAGCCUCUUUGCAAGACAUGUCUUGCCAACUACUGGUGAAUGCUGAAGGAACAGACUGUUUAGAAGCCAAAGAAAAAGUCCAUGUUAUUGGAAAUCGGCUCAAACUUCUCUUGAAGGAGGUCAGUCGUCAUAUCAAGGAACUGGAGAAGUUAUUAGACGUGUCAAGUAGUCAGCAGGAUUUGUCUUCCUGGUCUUCUGCUGAUGAACUGGACACCUCAGGGUCUGUGAGUCCCACAUCAGGAAGGAGCACCCCAAACAGACAGAAAACGCCACGAGGCAAGUGUAGUCUCUCACAGCCUGGACCCUCUGUCAGCAGUCCACAUAGCAGGUCCACAAAAGGUGGCUCCGAUUCCUCCCUUUCUGAGCCAGGGCCAGGUCGGUCCGGCCGCGGCUUCCUGUUCAGAGUCCUCCGAGCAGCUCUUCCCCUUCAGCUUCUCCUGCUCCUCCUCAUCGGGCUUGCCUGCCUUGUACCAAUGUCAGAGGAAGACUACAGCUGUGCCCUCUCCAACAACUUUGCCCGGUCAUUCCACCCCAUGCUCAGAUACACAAAUGGCCCUCCUCCACUCUGAACUAAGCAGAUGCCAUCUGCAGAAGUGCUGGUAGCAUAAGGAGGAUCGGGUCAUAAGCAAUCCCAAACUACCAACAAGAGGACCUUGAUCUUGGUGAAAGCCCUCGGUGUGGCAGCUUUAGCCCUCCUCCAGAUCACAUGUGUGCAAAUUAUGGCUUCAGAGGUGGAAGAUAAACAGUGACAGGGGAACAAACAGACAACAAGAAGGUUUGGAAGAAAUCUGGUUUGAGACUCUGAACCUUAGCACUAAGGAGAUUGAGUAAGGACCUCCAGAGUUCCCCGGACUCAUGAAUUCUGGGCCCUUGGCCCAUUCUGUGCACAGCCAAGGACUUCAGUAGACCAUCUGGGCAGCUUUCCCAUGGUGCUGCUCCAACCAUCAGAUAAAUGACCCUCCCAAGCACCAUGUCAGUGUCGUACAAUCUACCAACCAACCAGUGCUGAAGAGAUUUUAGAACCUUGUAACAUACAAUUUUUAAGAGCUUAUAUGGCAGCUUCCUUUUUACCUUGUUUUCCUUUGGGGCAUGAUGUUUUAACCUUUGCUUUAGAAGCACAAGCUGUAAAUCUAAAAGGCACUUUUUUUUAGAGGUACAAAGAAAAACUAGAUGUAAUAAAUAAGAUCAUGGAAGGCUUUAUGUGAAAAAAGUUGAAUGUUAUAGU